RNAcentral lists this ribosomal RNA (354 nucleotides) under uncultured bacterium. RNAcentral describes it as "bacterial SSU rRNA". It matches the Rfam family "Bacterial small subunit ribosomal RNA", at positions 917 to 1267 of the family's 1533-position model. The record is from RNAcentral.
GGGCCCGCACAAGCGGUGGAGUAUGUGGUUUAAUUCGAUGCAACGCGAAGAACCUUACCUGGCCUUGACAUGCAUCUCUAAGCGUGUGAAAGCACGUGACCCCUCGGGGAAUUUGCACAGGUGCUGCAUGGCUGUCGUCAGCUCGUGUCGUGAGAUGUUGGUUAAGUCCCGCAACGAGCGCAACCCUUGUGUCCUGUUGCCACUUCCGCUAGCGCGGAAAGCACUCUGGACAGACUGCCUCGUCUCAACGAGGAGGAAGGUGGGGAUGACGUCAAGUCAGUAUGGCCCUUACGGCCAGGGCUGCACACGUACUACAAUGGCAUUUACAGUGGGAAGCAAUACGGCGACGUGGAG